UGGCCCCUUUGGGACAAAUUAAAAUUUAGGUCACCUGCUUUUUUUUUGGGGGUGUGGGCAGGAGUGACGAAAAACCUUGGAGGCUACUCACGCAGCUCUCUUGGGAAACUGUGUCAAGUUGGUCUUAAAAUUUUGACCACACGCAAGUGCGUACAAUAUAGAUUGUCGAAGAAUUACUCAUCAAUUGCUUUCGAUGAGCACGUGCUGUCUUUCUCCCAAGGACCUUUGGGCAGGACGUUUUGACCUGUACCGCCUCCAUAUACCAUUGUGUGUGGUAUACCAUUCCGAUAAUAUGGCUAUUCGAAUUCGAAAAAUCGAUUCGCCGCUAAUUGGUUUGUUUUCAACGUGUUUCUUUUUUGGACACUACAGUCCUGCUAAUGUCCUGGCAUAGUGCAAAAAAACAAGAAAACAAACCGUGUGCACCAAGAGUCCUGGCAAAUUGUAAAAUAAAUAAAUAAAACAUAAAACUCACAUGUGAGGAACACAGGUUGUGACUCUCAGUACGGCCCCAAAAGCCCAGCCCCAUUUUGACCAGCUUUUCCCGCACUUCCCAUUGAAUAUGCAUACACGCAAGGACCUCACCAGUUGUCCAGCUGAGCAGGUGCAAUUGUCCAUUCAGACGUCGUUGAACUUGUCAGGACAACGGUUCAUCAAGCGCUAGGAUAUUCGGAUUUUCAAAUCGGUCAUUUCGCAGUGCCAAGUGAACGGAUAUAACCCAUGAAUCACCAUUGGGGCGAUGUGCAGAGCCGCGGACUCUAGUGAUUCACUAGUCUAAAGUUGAAGAAAACUACUCAAAAACCGGAUAGCAGAAUACAACAAUGCCUCCCAAGAGACGCAGGAGAUUCCAGGGACUCUACUACCAUUCAUCGCCGCCCAAAGUCAUGCCGAUGAAUGGACAGGAGGGUGGACAAAAUGGACGUAAGCGUCGCGACAACGAAGAUUUCUCGGUGAAGCUAUCCACCAUUCGGAUCUGGAUUCACGAGAAGGACAUUGGCAAGCUGACGCGUAUCUUGUGGGCGGGCCAGGGCAACCGCCUCAGUCAGCAGGCCAGCAACAAUGGGCGUGUGAAGCGCUUCCUGGCCGCCGUGCCCCAUGUCAUGAAUGCCAUCAAGGAUCUGCAUCAGGCGGUCAUCGACAACAGUCUGGAGACCGUUCAGGCCCAGUUGGAACCACCGGUUCCCAGUGCCUUGGUCACCUGCAAGGACGGCAAUGGCCUCAAUAUUAUCCACAAGGCCGCCGGACUGGGUCACACCAAGAUCCUGGAGUAUCUGGUGGGCAUUUGGCCCGAGGGCGCCCACGAGGUGGACAUCACCGGGAAGACGCCGCUCCACUGGGCCGCCAGUGCCAAGAACAACAUGAGGUGCUACACCCUGCUGACCCAAGCGGGCUGCGAUGAGGAGGCCGUCGAUUAUAAAAUGAAAACUCCCUCGUACUAUCGCCACAAGCCGCACGAAAUCGAGCGCGCCUUCCUGGUUUAUGUGCCGGAGGCGCCCCGCGUCUCCCCCGACAGCGCCACCGAUUGGGAGGCCUUGAGCGAUGACAGUGGAGUGGUGGACACCGGGGCGGCCGGGGAUGCCGGCUCCAAGAAACUGGACAUCAAGGUCCCUCCGUCCGUGAAUGGUCGCAAAUCGCUGGACGACAGCCUUGAGAACACCUCGGAGCUGGACACCAAUGAUGGUACGAGUGCCAAUGAGGAUGACGAUCUGUCCAAGGCGGAUGUGGAGCCGGAAGCGGAAGUCGUCUCGCCAUUGCAGCGCCGACCGGAAACGCCGGCCACAUUCAACACGAUCAAUGGCGAUGGCGAAGAUAGCGAGGCUGAGAAUAUUGCAAGAGCUGUAAGCGCAGAUGGAGGCGGAGUUGGGCAGGACGAAGAUGGAGGAGGAGGCGGAGGAGAUGCGGCGGUCAUGGCGAAUGGAGGAGAUCAUGAUGAGGCUCCGGAGGAGGAGCAGAAACCAGAUGAACCCGAGGAGGUGGAGGUGGCGCAGCUGCCUGAAGAAUCAGCGGCUGAGAGUGAGCUUGAAGGAAACAAAAAGACUGAAGGAGAACCGGAGGAGAAGGAUGCAGAGGCAGAGGAAGUAGCAGAUGAGCCGGAGGUCCCCGUAAAGGAUGAAGCGGAACCGGAAGUGGCCGCCAUGUCCGCCGAAGAGAAGGAGGCCGAGUCAGAGAACGAAAACGAUGACGACGAUGAGGAUGUAAUAGCUUCAGGCGGCAAUGGAGAAGAUCCACAGGAGGAUCAGCCACCAGGAGGAGGUGAAUCAGAGCCACAGGAGGAGGACGGCAACGAGUCCCUAACAUCAGCAAUGGCCAUUGAGGGCUUUGUGCAAGGUGCCCCCGAGGAUUAUACAGGUGAACGCAUUAAGCGCAUUGUGGAUGCCGGUGACCUGGAGCAGCUGGCCGAGAUUGUGCUGAAUGGUGAGGGCGGCAACCUGGUGGGCCUUAAGUCGCAGGAACCGGAAAUACAGGCCUUUCUCAACAACGUGCCCAGCUAUAUGGAGAAAAUACAUCGCGUGCACGAUGCGGCACGUGACGGAGGUUUGCUGGCACUGCAGCAGGCUCUGGAUCGCCGGAAGUUUGCCAUUGCAAAGAACGACAUAUCGCCCAACGGCUCCACGCCGCUGCACGUGGCCGUCCUCUUCGGCCACACGGAUAUCGUUCGCUACCUGGCGUCGCGUUUUCCGGAGACCAUGACCAUUACGGAUAAUGACGGGCGAACGGCGCUUCAUUACGCAGCCACAAUUAAGGACAACGGUCACUUCUAUAACAUGCUCUUGCAGUUGGGCGCCAAUCCGAAAGUACUGGACAAGCUGGGCCACUCGGCCGAGUUUUACCUGGACAAGGACAAGGCGAAAAACAUACUGAACUACACGGAGCUGCUCAAUAUAUUCGGGGCGGAGGAACUGGAGAACCAGUUGCUCAACGACCAGGUCCCCGACGAUCUGCACAGUGCCCGGCGGGAGCUGCAGGACGGCGAGAUCUCGAGGACCUUGGAGCGCUGCUAUAGCGUCAUUGCGGAAUCGGGAAAACUGUUGAGCGGUACUACGGCAUCGGCUCUAUCGCAUCGAAAGCCCUUGAGUGCUUCUUCGCUGCAGCUUUCGGUCACUAGUUAUCUGAGUCGAUUCCUGAAGCGUGGGGUCUAUGAGAAAAUCAAGCGUCGGCAAACCCGUCUCGAUCACAAUCUCUUCGAUGUCCUGUGGCCGGCCAUGCGGAAGACUUCGAAGGCCCGCCAUUUGGAGGAGGAUAUCAACUGCGGCAUUAUAGCCCCAGAUUUUGAUGUAUUUGUGGUGUUCCAAGAGUUCCUGGUGCCGUUGCUAAAGGAUAUGCAUUGCCUGAGUAUCGAUGCUGAUUUUAAGCCACAACCGCGACUGGCUUACUUCCCAAUGGAUAAUGGCGAACGGCUCAAUACGGCGGCUUUUGUUUUUGACGAUGAGUCCCUUUUGGUCACCCGUUGCUUGGUUGAGGUCUCCAGAAAUCUGGAUCAGUUGGAGUUACCCUUGAACCUCACCAUUGGCCAACUAGAGCAAGCGGAGCGCCUGAUGAUGAGCAAAAUAUUCACCACGCACUUUGCAGACGCCAUUGGCGAAACGGAUUCGGGUAACUAUUAUACCAUGACCGAACUCCUAGAAACCGAUUCGGAGGUGACCAUGAUGCUGAGCAGUCUGGGUCUGAUGAUUCCCCUCCUGGAUACCAAGGAUCUGGUUCAGGCUGCCGAGUCCACGGCUUUUAAUGGAGCCCUCUGGCCAUAUGGCAGGGGUGUUUUUGUUAAUUCAGCCAAUAAUUUGGCUGUGUGGCUGAAUUGUCAGGAGCACUUGAGAAUUAUCUCCACCAGCAGCAGCAAAGAGCCUGCCGAUAUGGGUGCCGCCUAUACGCGAGUGGGAAGAGCCAUCUCCUAUCUGGAAACGCAGCUGCACUUCAAGGAGAGCUACCUCCUGGGAUACCUGCAGUCCAGACCCAGUUACCUGGGCACAGGUCUCAAGAUGACGACCAUCGUGAAGUUGACCAAUCUGAUGAAAGAGAUGGACAACCUGCGGCACUUGUGCUCCGUAAGAGGCCUAAGUAUGGUGACCAAUCUCCUGUCAAAACUCACCGUGCGCCUUGUAAAUAUGCAAAGUAUGGGUGUGGUGGAAUUCGUGCUUUUCCAGGAUUAUUGCACUGCAGUCACCAACAUACUAUCACUUGAGAAGGAUAUGUCGCUUACAAACUCCAAACACAUUGCCACCAUGCUGGUAAAGAUCUUCAAACGCAAGAAGAACAGCAUCGUGGAUCGUAACUAGAGAAAAGGACCAAGUGCCAGCUCAAUGUAUAUACAAAUGAAAAGAAUACCUCAGCACCCAAAACCUCAAAUGCUUAUAUAGUACUUUAUCUGAUUGACACCUACCUCGUGCCCUCAUCUCAAAUCUCCUCCGCUUACGCUGCUCUUAAAGUUAAUCCGCAAUCGUCAGGCGCAGCCAGUGAGCUUUCAGGCCAAUCCCAUCUUCAAGACCGAGCAGGGCAAAUACCUAGCUAAUUCCCUCGCCGAUCCAUUGAUCA
Molecule: non-coding RNA, 4527 nt
Organism: Drosophila suzukii
Lineage: Eukaryota; Metazoa; Arthropoda; Insecta; Diptera; Drosophilidae
Source: RefSeq, a predicted model, not a curated record